GCGUCACUUCCCGGUCCGGGCUCCGGCUGCAGUUUCCGACAGGUGGAAGGUGCUGCCCGAACCUGGCCUCUCAGACUUUUAAAAGCAGGUCUAAUUGGAGCUCCUCUCCAGCUCCCCGCCGACAGGAGCUGAGGAAAUCCAAUUCGUCUGCGGUGGCCGUGGGAGUCGUGGUCGCUCACGACUCGGAUCUGCCAGUAGUUCGCUGCAUGCAGGUCCCUGCAGGUCCGCUUUCCGAGUUGAGAACAGGCGGAAUUGUGCCUCCAGUAGCUCAACAGCUUCACAGAGAAAAUAUUGAGCGAAUAGUAGAAGAAGCCCUUUCUGCCAGCAGAGUCUCGCCACGUGACCUCUCAGCCAUCGCAACCACCGUCAAACCAGGACUGGCUCUAAGCCUGGGCGUCGGCUUAGCAUUCAGCUUACAGCUCGUGAACCAGUUUAAAAAACCGUUCAUUCCCAUCCACCAUAUGGAGGCUCAUGCGCUUACCAUCAGACUGACCAACAAAGUGGAAUUUCCUUUUCUAGUUCUUUUGAUUUCUGGAGGUCACUGCCUGUUGGCCUUAGUCCGCGGUGUUGCAGAUUUCCUGCUCCUUGGGAAGUCUUUGGACAUAGCACCGGGUGACAUGCUCGACAAGGUGGCAAGAAGACUUUCUUUAAUCAGUCGUCCAGAAUAUUCUACGAUGAGUGGUGGGAAGGCUAUGGAACAUUUGGCCAAAGAAGGAAAUAGAUUCCAUUUUACCCUCAGUCCUCCCAUGCAGAAUGCUAAGAACUGCAAUUUUUCUUUUACGGGACUUCAGCAUGUUAUCGAUAAGCUCAUCAAAAGGAAGGAAAAGGAAGAAGGCAUCGAGAAGGGGCAAAUCCUGUCUUCCGCCGCAGACAUUGCCGCCGCGGUGCAGCACGUGACCGCAUGCCACCUUGCCACGAGAACGCACCGCGCUCUUCUGUUUUGCAAGCAGAGAGCGUUGUUACUGCCAGCGAACGCAGUAUUAGUUGUGUCUGGAGGUGUUGCAAGUAACUUGUAUAUCCGAAGAGCGCUGGAAAUGGUAGCAAAUGCAACACAAUGCACUUUGCUGUGCCCUCCUCCAAGACUGUGCACUGAUAACGGCGUUAUGAUUGCGUGGAAUGGGAUUGAAAGGUUACGUGCCGGCUUGGGGAUUUUACAUGAUGUAGAAGACUUCCGGUAUGAACCAAAAUGUCCUCUGGGAGUAGACAUAUCCGAAGAAGUCGCAGAAGCUGCCAUAAAAGUCCCACAAUUAAAAAUGACGAUUUGAUUUGUGAUUUUUAAAGGUCUUUCCAGCUCACAAGUGUCCAUAACUCCAGUUCCCGUGGAUUCAGCAUCCUUUUCUGACCUCCUAGGGCACCAAGCAUGCUUGUGGAACACAAACAUAAAUGCAAGCCAAACACUCAUACACAUAAAAUUUUUAAAAACAAUAAUAAAUCUUAAUUUUUUUAAAGGACCAAUGUUACUAUGUCCAUUGAUUUGGCCACUAACCAAUGUUACUAUGUCCAUUGAUUUUGCCCUCUAUACUGGAUCAAGUUGUUAAUUUUGUGAACUUUCUAAUCUUUAUUGACAUGUAUUAUUGACAAGGUAAAGAUAAAAAUUUAGCAUAGAAAACCCUUUUUGUCAGGUAACUCACUUUAUAACAUUCCAACAUAAGAAUUACAGACAUGUACAACCAUUCUUAACUAGAAUGAAAAAGUAACUUAUCUUAGUCCUAAUUUAAGGUAGCUUCUCAGAAAGUUCCAGAAGUAAUUCUUUUAUUUAAUUAAGAUCACCUGUUUUCUCCUAGAAAUGAAGCAUCUGGAAAUAGCCAUUACUUAAAAUAGCUUCUUAUUCUUUGUUGUUAGAUUGCUGUUAUAGAUAGGAUUGGUAAAAAAGUAACAAAAGCAACAACUAGUUCAGAAAUUCACAUUUGAUAUUUGGAUUUGUGUUUUGUAUAUGUGAUUAUGAAUUAACAAACUUUCUGUGACGACUACUGUAAGUUCAUAUAAAUUAUUGAGGAAAAUUUACCAAAAUUUAUAUUAUGAAUAUAUUUAUAAUCUGUGUUUUGAAAAUGUUAAAAGUUGUUCCAGGUGUUAUAAUCACAACUAUAUAUUAAAUUACUUCAUAAUACAAAUAAGGAGAAAAUAUAGCUAACAGAAAUUAAUGAAUCCUGGAUAGAGCCAUGUCUUUUAAUCCUUUGAGUACUUGCUACGAGGAAUGGAAAGGAAGGGAGGGAAAGGAGGUUGGAAUCAGGGAGUAACACUGAACUCUUCAUCAACACAUGCCAAAUUUACCUUACUGUGAAACUAAGGGUUGGGCAGGUCACUGAGACCAAUGUCUCACUCACUAGGACUCACUGUUGCUCGCUCACACUGGUCCUGAACUCUUAGCAAACCUCCUGUAUGAACAUCCCAAGUCCUUGAUUACAGAUCUGGGUGGCGGAAAACGAAUGAAUGGUUGCCACCUACAGUUGGCGCCCAACAUGGGGCACAAACCCACGAUCCUGAGUAGGGGAAAUGAGUGAGUAGUCUCUCUUUACAGAAGUGGACAUGAACUCACAUUCCCUAACCAACAAACUGUCUCCAACUGAUAAUCCACUUGCAAAGGAAAGAUGAUUUUUCUCCAGUGGAAUCUACCUGGCUAUGUUAACCACACUUGGAGAUAGGCUCUAUGCCCAUCUAUGUAAAUGGCCAACACAGAGUGAACUCAGUGGCAUUUUUGUAGACUUUUUGUCUCACAUUGCUUUGUUUGGGCAUUUUUGUUUGUUUUACUGGUCUUUUGCCUUUAUAAGGUGGUUCUAAUUUCAUGUUUGUAUGGGGUUUGUGUGUGUGUGUGUGUGUGUGUGUGUGUCUUUUAUGUUUUUCUUUUUUAAGUUCUAGUUUAUUUGGAGUGUUUGUCAUUUGCCUAUUUGUUCUCUAAAGAGAAAAAGAAAGGGUGUGGAGGUGUCUGGGCAGGGAAGAUCUGAGAGGAGUGUGGAGAACAGAAACCACUAGACUAUUUUAUUAAAAUUUAUUUCAACAAAAUAAUUUUUUUUAAAAGUUGGCAGUGAUUCUUCAGGAGAAAUACUGUUGUUGGGAUAAUCUGGUUAAGCUAGUUCCUCAGAAAGUGUCUGUGGUUGUCUACAAAAUAUCUUUAGCCCACCUGAAGCUACCUCAAGGCUUGGUUGUUCAUGAUCAGAGGCUGAAUAAUAACUUCAAGAGUUACCCUUAAUAACACUGAGAGAAUGAGACUUGUCUUAUCAUUUGAUUCACUUCUUCUCUUUUUUUUGGGGGGGGAGUGUUUUAUUUUGUUAUUUGUUUCUUUUUCAAGACAGGAUUUCUUCGUGUAGCUUUGGCUGACCUGGAACUCACUCUGUCUGGUUUUUGGCUUUUCAAGACAGGUUUUCUCAGUGUAACAACCCUAACUCUCCUAGAACGAGCUCUUGUAGACCAGGCUGGCCUCGAACUCACAGAGAUCCGCCUGCCUCUGCCUCUCAAGUGCUGGGAUUAAAGGUGUGCGCCACCACCACCCGGCUGAUUCACUUCUUUCUAAUAUUAAACAUACAUUUCCCUCUACAUUUCCUAUAUUAUAAUCCAUCAGAAAAUAGCAGCUCAGAGCAGUUGAUAGAGCAGAAUUUAAAUACUUAAGAACACUUUGUUUUGCAGUGAUUAAGCACACAGAGGGGCUCUGGGAAAGCUCCCACCAUCAUGACCAUUACUAUGGUAACUAUUUGUUGAUAUUCAUGGUCCAUGCUUGCUGCAGCUCUGGUAGACAGGGAAUUACAGGAAGGCCUUCAGAGUAUAUGGAGGCCGAGUGAGUAGAGAAAGGGGGAGGAGAAGUGGAAGUACCGAGUGAAGUCUUGUUUGCAUUUGUCAUACCUGUCUUCUGCUGUAAACUAAAGGAUCAACACCAAGGCUUGCACCUAUUAAUGUGGGACCUUUGAGCAGAGACGUCACAGAGUUCUCAGCCAAAAAAGUGUCCUCUCCAGGUGCGGAGUCUAGGCACUUUCUGUUGAUAAUGGGACAGCUGCAGUGGCCACACAUCUAGUUAUGUGCCUGAUGGGCAGUGAUUCCGAUGUCAGGUUGAGUGUUUCCAUCUUCUACAUUUCAGGUUACAUAAAGCUCACACUUUGGUAAUGCUUAUUGUUUAACAGCUCAAGUGUUGUGAUAGUAUGAGCAGGCGGACUCUUUAACUCGGCAUACCAACCCCAAAAUGUUUUUAAGUCUUGAGACAUAGAGAUAUAUAGAUACACAUAUGUACACGUAUUGAAGAGGCCUAAUGACACAGGUGCAGCCAUGACAGGCUGCAAAUUAACAGUACUGAGACUGGGCCUCACCAUUACAAUAACCAGGAAAAGUCACAGACAGUACCCUUCGGGAAAACAAUCAGAAUUGAGGCAAAGAAGGACUAGCUGCUUCAGAACAUAGAAUAGCUUACCAAACUUGUUAUAUAGGUUGUCGGUUUCCUUGCAGCAAAGCUGGUACCAAUCCCUGCUUGACAAGACUUCUCUUACCUCACUCCUGCCCAAUCAGGAGUUCAACCCCCCGUCUGAAUCCAGAAUUCCCCUAACCGCUCCCCAUCCUUUUCUCCUUCAAAACCCUGCCAUAGCUGAGCUCAACGCUCUCCCUGACCCAACCACCGUGCCAGAAUGGACGGAUAGACAGACAGACAGAUAAACGGAGAUCCCAAACUCAAGCCUGCAGUAAAGGCUCUUUGCUUUUGCAUACAAACUCGGCCUCAUGGUGGUCCCUUGUGGUGAGGGGACUCAUGACGUGGGCACAACAAUAUACAAAUAUAUUAUCUGGUCGUGACAGUUGCUAAAUCUUGUAGGUGUGAGUGGAGGCAUCGCCUACAGAAAUUCUACUUAGUUUUUUGAAGCAGUAACUAACCUGACGCUGAACUCCCUGAGAAACUGAAAAGAAGACCUGUUCAGUAUUAACAUAAAGACCUUCCAUUCAAACAGCACUGACGUCAUCCCCCGAAAGACGACUCAAGAAUCAUUUCCUGUUCAAAUGCUUUUUUUUUU
Molecule: non-coding RNA, 4982 nt
Organism: Myodes glareolus (Bank vole)
Lineage: Eukaryota; Metazoa; Chordata; Mammalia; Rodentia; Cricetidae
Source: RefSeq, a predicted model, not a curated record